UUGAAGUGGUGAUUAAUUAUAGCUUCCCUUUGACGACUGAAGAUUAUGUCCAUAGAAUAGGGCGGACAGGACGUGCCGGGAAGAAGGGGGUUGCACAUACCUUCUUCACAAAGGAAAAUAAGGGCCUUGCUGGGGAACUUGUGAAUGUUCUU
Molecule: long non-coding RNA, 152 nt
Organism: Dendrobium catenatum
Lineage: Eukaryota; Viridiplantae; Streptophyta; Magnoliopsida; Asparagales; Orchidaceae
Exons: 2
Source: RefSeq, a predicted model, not a curated record